This 519-nucleotide ribosomal RNA is filed under the name uncultured Hanseniaspora. RNAcentral describes it as "eukaryotic LSU rRNA". It matches the Rfam family "Eukaryotic large subunit ribosomal RNA", at positions 62 to 586 of the family's 3401-position model. Lineage: Eukaryota; Fungi; Ascomycota; Saccharomycetes; Saccharomycodales; Saccharomycodaceae. The record is from RNAcentral.
AAACCAACCGGGAUUGACCUCAGUAACGGCGAGUGAAGCGGCAAAAGCUCAAAUUUGAAAUCUGGCACUUUCAGUGUCCGAGUUGUAAUUUGUAGAAGUAGUUUUGGGACUGGUCCUUAUCUAUGUUUCUUGGAACAGGACGUCAUAGAGGGUGAGAACCCCGUAUGAUGAGGCCCCCAGUCCUUUGUAAAACGCUUUCGAAGAGUCGAGUUGUUUGGGAAUGCAGCUCUAAGUGGGUGGUAAAUUCCAUCUAAAGCUAAAUAUUGGCGAGAGACCGAUAGCGAACAAGUACAGUGAUGGAAAGAUGAAAAGAACUUUGAAAAGAGAGUGAAAAAGUACGUGAAAUUGUUGAAAGGGAAGGGCAUUUGAUCAGACAUGGUGUUUUGCGCCCUUUGCUCCUUGUGGGCGGAGGAUACGCAGCUCACUGGGCCAACAUCAGUUUUGGGAGCAGGAUAAAUCUGUAGGAACGUAGCUUUCUUCGGGAAGUGUUAUAGCCUAUGGGAAUACUGCUACCUGGGA